This 11186-nucleotide long non-coding RNA is filed under the name Homo sapiens (human). Its description in RNAcentral is "HSALNT0371853". The record is from RNAcentral. Lineage: Eukaryota; Metazoa; Chordata; Mammalia; Primates; Hominidae.
GUGGAUGGGGAGAGGGGAGUGGCUGUGGUCUCGGGUGGAUGGGGAGAAGAGAGUGGCUGUGGUCUCGGGCGGAUGGUGAGAGGGGAGUGGCUGUGGUCUCGGGUGGAUGGGGAGAGGGGAGUGGCUGUGGUCUCGGCGUUACUGGAGACACUGAGGAUGGGGCAGUUUCUAAAAUAUCAAUGUUCAUAAUACAUGGGGAAUUACAUUUCUGCAACCAUGUCCUUAUAUUUUAAAUGAAAGUACUUGAUGUGAACAAGUGAGGAGAUAAGAGUGAGGGGGUGGCGAGUUCGUGGAAAUGGUUUAAAGCCCACCAGCAUGGAGGUGGUGGGGGUGCCUCCAAGCACAGGUGGCAAAUCCCGCAAGACAGGAGCAGCAGUUAAGGGGGCCGUGGGUGAAGUUGGGGGGCGGCUGAUUACGGAGGAGCUUGUGGUGGGUGGGAUCCUGUCCUAGCCCAGACCCAGGGUCUCGGGAGGAUGAAGGACAGCAGAUGUGGGGGGUGGGGCCGCUCCCGCAGGUCUGGACAGAUCCAGGCUGCCAGGGCUGAGUCGGCCAAGGCUGUGGGGGCCCCUGUGUUACUGAAACCAAAGACGAUUCUACCUCCCCAAGGAAGGUACAGGAGCCCAAUGGAGUUCGAAUCUUCCCUGAGCACCACACUCUUUAGAAAGCCCAAACACAAAUUCUCUCCCUAUUUUAAAAACUUCUUCCACUUUCGGUCCCCUAAACACGUCCUUAGCCUACCUUCUGGGGACUUUUCCACAGCGUGUUAAAGGUUUGGGACUUUCAGGACAGUGGGAAGACAUCGCAAGCUGCGUAACAGAGGAGUGGCUAUUCACCUGUUGUACCUUAGAGAAAACGCCACACUUUGAGACGAAUUAAGAGUCCGUUUAUUUAGCCGGUGGUCAAGAGACGGCUAACGCUCAAAGUUCUCUUGGCCCCGAAGAAGGGGCUAGAUUUUCUUUUAUACUUUGGUUUAGAAAGUGGAAGGGGGUCUAGCUAAAACAAUUUUACAGAAAUAAAGUAGGCAAAAAAGUUAAAUGGAUAAAUGGUUACAGGAAAGUAAACAGUUCCAGGUGCAGGGGCUUUAAGACUAUUACAAGGUGAUAGACGCGGGGCUUUGGGCGUUAUCAAUCGGGUGAAUUCCUGGGAACUGUGGAUAUUGCUCGCCACAGUAUCUUAUCAGUUAAUUGCAUUCUUGGAUGUGCUGGGAGUCAGCUUGCACAAGUUAAGUCCUUGAGGAAGGGACUGCCAGUGAAAGAGCCAAGAUGGAGUCUGUCUGGCUCUCUUAGCCAAGGGAGAGUCUAAGAACAGGGUUAGUAAAAACAAGGUUGGGCAUUACACACCCAUAGAGUCAUUUCCUGGACAUUUGUGAGGCUUAGGAUGUGCCAGGCCUGGGGCCAAACACCUGCUGCACUCUCUCCUGAAGCCGACAGAGACCCUAGACAGCAGGUGCUGUCCUCAGCCCCUUUCUCCAGAUGAGAAAACCAAGGCGUGGACCUGCCCGAGGCCCCAGCCAGCACCUCAGCGGGGCUCCUGGGUCCUGGAGUCCUGGGUCCCGGCCAGGCGAGCCCAGAGCUCUGCUCUGAGCAGACACAGCCUGCUGCUUUUCCAGGGUUCUGGAGUUAGAAAACAAUGGACACACGCUGUGAAAGCUGCUCAGCCCUUUGUCUUUGAAAUGGCACCGAUGUGGCCGGUUCUGGGAGUUCCUGGGGGAAACAAAGUAACUUAAUCUUCCAGAGACUCAGUGAAACCUGAAAUAGCUCUGGUCUCUCCACGAAGUUGGACAACUUCCAUCCAAUUAAUUACCAGAACAAAACACAGAAUCAGAAAACAUCUUGGAUUGCAAGAGUCGUUGGCAAUACAAUUUAACUCUUUCCACCUCUGGAAUUAGAAAUCCCAUUAACAGCCUUUUAAGUUUGAAACAGCUGAUUCCAGCUGAGCCUCAUUAACUAGCAGCACCCGCUGGCUGUCUCUUCUCGGGGCUCCUAGGGAGAAGCACAGUCACUCAGAAAAUGAGGCCAGGGUGAUGAGUGACACAAAUGGGCCCACAGCCUGGGACACAGGGGACAUGUCCACAUCCUGUGAGAGCAAGGCACACCCAGCUGUCUUCCCAUGGGCAUCUAUGAGCCCCUCUGUGCACUGGGCUUCCUGGCACUACCCUCCCUGUGGAACCUGGCCGGCUGCCAGGAGAAGCUCAGUGGGCAUCAUGGGUGCUGGGCAGGGCCUCCCAUCUGCCAGAGGCUUUUAUGAGCCCUGGGUGACAGCAGCCUGGGAGUCCUGGAGGGGACAGCUGAGGGGAUGUCUCUGCUGCAGGCCACACCCCUGGCUUAUCUGGGAGUCCCCUGCUCCCUCGCUCUGUCCACAUGGUCUGGUCUGGGUGGGGCUGACUCCACCCCCAGGUCAGGUGUGCUCCUGUGACCCAGACCUGUGAGAGGAGAACAUUCCAUUCUCAUGGCCUGGGCAAUGGGUUCCGGGGUGGGCACUUGGCUGUGACCCAGACCUGUGAGAGGAGAGCAUUCCAUUCUCAUGGCCUGGGCGAUGGGUUCAGGAGUGGGCACUUGGCUGGACCUGCUUGGAGAAGUCAGUCGGCUUCAGUGGACUUAGCCCCAAGGAGAUGCUGGCCUGGGAGGGCCCUGGACACAGGAAAUCAGAGCCCUGAGGUCAUGCCUGAGCUGCAGGAUCACGCUGUGCCUGAAGCUGUCCCGGCCUGAGGAUUUCAAUGCAUUUCCUCUGGUGCCUGGGCUGGUCUGGGGCUUCUCUCACCCCCAGAGUCCUGACUCCUGAGCGCCCCCUGUGGCCUGUGCAGAAGAGGGUGGUUGUGGACACUCUCCCACCCAGUGCAGCCGCCUGUGGCCACCCUGAGGACAGUGACAUGGUGCUGAAUUCACCUCCUGUGUGAUGUUGGGACCCUGCUCCCCAAUGGGGGCCUCACCCCCAAAAAUGUCUCUGGAGUCUUUGGGGUGCUGCUGUUGACACAUGAGAUCAGUCCUGCCAUCUGAUCUGGCACUGCUGCUGGCACUGCUGCUGGCCCUGCUGCUGGUCAGUCAGCUCCUGGCCACCGUGCUGGGGUCUGAGCCCCAUGGACAUCCCGGGGUCCUCAGCCCAGACCCAGGAGGGACACAGGGAGUAGAGUGGGGUGAUGCCCCCGUCACCUCCCGAGGCCCCGGGAGUGAGUGCCGGGACCCUCUGUCCUAACCCUCUGCCUCCCUGGGUGUUAACCCACCUGGGCAAAAGUGCGUGGUUCAAUGCCAAGGCCAGGGCCAUGGGCCCUGCGUUUCCCUGCAGAGUCCCUGGGCUUCUUGGCCCAUCACAGGCUUGAGGAUCAGCACCUGCAGCCCGUGGUGGUUGUUUUCUCAUCUGUAAAUGCGGAUUUGGGCUUUAGAGCUGACUCUUUGUCACCGAGAGCACAGCCUGUCUUCUCUGUUCCUUUCCUUUGUGACUCAGAGGCCCUCUGCGCCUUGGUGGGAGGAAGAGGAAUCAUCCUUGUUGCUGACCCCCUGCGACGGUGCUGGCUGGACGGGGUGUGCAUCGUGCCAGGAGCUGGUCCCUCAUUCAUCCUCACAGCAGCCCUCCCGGGCUCGCCCGCCGUGACUUUCACUCCCAUUUCACAGACGAGGACCCUGAGGUCCAGGGAGGCUGAGUGGGCUGCCCUCCCCAGCUGGAGCCUGGAGGGGAUUUGAACUCGGGCCUCAGGGCAGAGCCUGUCGCUGUCUGGGCUGGGCUGAGCUGACUCCCCAGGGCCGUCAGCUCCACUGCAUCCUGACCACCUGGGAACUGUGGUCAGCACUUUCCAGGCUCAAAGGCAUGGCUGCUUACAGCGUGCCCGAGGGACAGCCCAGCUGCAGCCCCUCCUCACCAGCGACCCCUGGGCCCUUUGCCUCGGGGCCAGGCAAGCGGAGAGCAGAGAGCAGUGUGUGAGGAGGGAAAAAAGCCGGACUACAGGGACCCCAGCCACCCGCCAGCCCCUACCCUGCAGCCUCUCCUGCCAGAGGCCGAGGCUCCUGAGCUGCCCCGUGCAGGGAGUGUGGCCAGGCGAGGCUCCGUGGAGUGCAGGAGCUGCGGCAGCAGGAGAGCCAGGAGGAGGCUGUGGCUCUUGCCCAGGCAAGCAGACAUGCCAGCUGUACGCAGUCCUGGGCCACGUAUCGUGUGUGGUCUUAGGAAAUGUGAGUGUACACUUGGUGCGUGCCUGUGUGUGCCCAUGUGCAUGUGUGUGUACACAGCCUCAGCCCACAUAUCAUGUGUGUGAAUUCAGGAAACGUGUGCGUGUGAGUGCAUGUGUGUACAUGCGCGUAGGUGUGCAUGUGCCUGUGUGUGUUCUCAUGUACACAGCAGAGCUGUGGGUCUCAGCCCCCGCUGCAGGCUGGAACCCCCUGGGGGUGUGGUGGAUCUGGAACUUGGGAAGCAGCCCGGCAGCGUCGCCCAGAGCUGAAGAUCCACUUACCCCGACCCAGCAGUUCCACUCCGGGGUGUCUGCACCACAGACAGGGGCAUGUGUGUUCACCAGAAAGUGCUCUUAGCGGCACCGUUCGUGAGCGCCAGCCUGGAAAUUGCUGCAAUGCGCGUUAAUCGUGCAGUGGGCACGUGAGCGGGAAUGGCCAUGCUGGGCCUCCCUGUCCAGGGGAGCCCUGACCCCCUCUCCCCUGCCCCGGGGAGAGGCUGAGGAGCAGUUUCCAGGCCUGGGAGGGAUCUGGCCAUCCUGGGAGUGACUGGGGAGGAUGGAGAGUGCUGGCUCAGCCCACAGUGACUGCACAGCUCUCCCCGCCGCCUCCUCCUCCAGGAACAACAAGGGCCCUUGUGUCCGCCUCCCCCAGGGACAGUGCCCCAGUGAGGAACAGAGCCUGGCCUGGGAGGUGGCCCCAGGGCAGGCCUGGGUCCCAGCGGUUAAGUCUGGCCUCAGCCCUGGGGCUCUGGGCGGGGCUGCAGUGAGGGGAUGGCGCUCUCGGUGCACCAGACUGGAACUUCUGCCCCCUCCCCGGAUAGCCAGCUCUGCCACCCGCUGAAAAGGGUCCCUGGGCUGUGGACAGGCACCGUAUCAUGCUCUGCUAUGUGGUCCUGAGGGGGACAACAGAUGUCCCUAGGGUCCGUCCAGGACUCACCUGCCUGUCUCUGUAUUUCUCUGCCAGGUCACCCCUACUUGGUGCACGUGAUUCACAGGUGGGAAGCCACGCCUCCCAAUCAGCAUAUUUCAUACUGUGGUCCUGGGAUUGGCUCAGGCAUGGCCAUGUGACCCAAGCUGGUCCAAUGAGAAUGUGCCCGGGACUUUUUCUGAAACCCCUGGGGAAGGGAGGCUUUGCCUCGCAGUUGCUCAGUUAAGAGGAGCUCUCUGAGGGCCAUUUCCAGGCCGCCUUCCCCCAUCAGGGACACAGGCAAAGUGCAAGAGCCCUGAGGAUUUCCAGGGCUACAAAAAUGUUUUAAUUUCUUUUAAAAUUAGAAGAAAAUAUGAGCUCUUAGGUCAAAGAAAUAUUAACCUAUUCAUCUUUGUACCAGUUGUAAAAUAGAAGCUUAAAGGUGAUUUUAUGGAGGAAGGAGCCCACGAAUGCAAAAGGGCCCAGGGCCCAUGGAAGCCGCGUGCAGCCCUGUCUCUGCCGCCGCACAGGAGGGGGCCUGAGAUGAGGAUGGUGAGCUGACGGCCAGGGCCGGGUGAGGGUGACGCCCGGGCGGUGCCAGCCAUCCACAAAGUCCUGCUGUGUGUGUACUGGCGUGGGCAACCUCAUCAGAGCCCCACGGCACCUCACCAUGAUCGUUUCACAGACGGGGAGAGCGGGACCCAGAAAGGUUAAGCAAUGCCACCAAAGCCACACUGCUUGAAAGUGGGAGAGCUGGGUCUUGAACAUUGAGUUUGGCUGCGGAGUCUGAGCUGGGGAACCGCUGAGCUGCUUUCUGUCUGAGGGCAGGGUUGAGCCUGGGCCUGUCCUGAUGCUGCCAGCCCCUUCUUAGGGUGCUCAGGUGAGGGCGUUGGUGAAGCCCCCUUUCUGUCACUUGCCUCCAAGACAGCCCAGAUGACACACAUGUGGAGCAGGGGCAGAGGAGAGCUGGGCAGUGGCUGCACCAGCCAGGAAGCAGAUCCUGCUCCGCCGGGAUAUCAGACUAUGUGGGCUCUGCAGCAUUCACGAUCCUACACUCCCACUCUGGGGUCUGGUGAGUCCUCCCCCUGCAGCAGGAGAGCAGGCUUUCCCAGAAGGUGAGCCCCACUGCUGUCCAGAUGUGUGAUGGCAGCUUCCUGUGAGGAACCAGACAUUGUCCAAUUGUGGGGGGUCUGGCUUCUUGGAGGUUUGCAGAGUGUGGCAGGUGUGGAAAAACUUGAGGCCAAGGAAAGUCCUUUCGAACAGGAUUAAGCAGGUGGCAUGUUGGUUGUGGUGAUUCCAGUACUGUGUGCGUGUGUGUGUGUGUGUGUGUCUGUGUGCAUGCACGUGUCUGCACAUAUGCAUUCAUGUAUGUAUGUCUGGGUCUGCGUGCGUGGGUCUCUGUGUGUGCAUGCAUAUGUGUAUAUGCAUUGUGUGCCCAUGUGUGUGCACAUCUGUGUGCACCUGUUGAGCCAGUUCUGUGAGUCCCCCUGAGGGCCAGGAGGCCGUGGGCAGGGCUGGUCCUGGAGAGCACUUUGUUUUCUUCUCCACACACUUUGGGUUCCCCCGCUGAGUGCACCCCCUGCAUUUGGCUGGCUGCUUUCACCCCAGCCCCGCUCCUCCUGUGCCCAAGAACCUCCUCCUCGUCUCCUCCUCUGUCACGCAGCUGGUGCAGCACACCAGGCCUGCACUGAAAUGCAUCGGGGAGCAAAAGGGAGGUGAAGUCAAACAUCCCAUCUGCUCCUGUCCACGUCUUCAGGGUCACUGCCAAGUUCUGACACUGCCGACUCCCCACAUUGAGGGCAAACAGCCCCCCCGAAUGCAAAUCUCACUCCUUGUUUGCAGUCACUGAGAAAUUCUUUCUGGAAGAUGUUUAUUGUUUCUCCUUCGCUCUGCAAAAUCAUCAGUGUAGAGAGGAUGUCUUAGGAGUUUCCAGAAUAAGGAAACGAAGGAGCAGCGACUCAUGUGGGUCCUCUUGGGAUGGCUGAAUGGAAUGCAGAGAGGGGAGGAGAGUGGAAAAUAGAGCAUGCAUUUUGAGAAAAUUUCGAGCAGUUUCUCAGAAGCCUUGAGCCUUGGAGGAGGCAGAAAGGGAAAUUAUUUUCAGCUUUGUGUAUGCUGUUUUCCGAGGAUAGCACUUGUCUAUCAGAGGCUGACUUCCUGAAGACUUUAUCUAUCAGAUUAGAAGCCUGUAUGAGAGCCUAGGUAAAAAUGCAAAUUCCUAGGUCCCAGCCCAGACCCUGGGAUCAGAAUAUGGAGUGUGAGAGACCCAGGUUCUUGCGUCUCUGCAGCCUCCCACGUGAUUCAGAUGGUCGCUAAAGUGGGAAGACCAGGCUCCUGAAAGAGCGGAUGGCAUCUGCGCAGUUGAAGCAUCGUUUGUCCAUUCACUCAUUCAGCAAAUGUCACUGAGUCUCUUGAGGUGCCAGCGCUGUCUCUGGUGCUGAACCAGGGCCCCGCGCUCACGGCAUUCACCUUCCAGUGGAGGAGACAGCUUGUAUCUGAGGGAGUCCCCCAGCAGUCAGAAGGGACACGACGGGUUAACUGAAGAGGGCUUAAUAAAGGGCAGGGGUCGGGACCGAGGCUGUUUAUGCCAAGAUGGCAAAACCCAAGAGGUCUGUGGGUGGCGACGUCUGAGACUCUAGCGGCCGCCUGGAGCUUCCGAGGCUCACCAAGAGCAAACCUGAAUUGCUUUCCAGGCCACAUGUCCAUGAACAGCACGUGCAGAAGCAACACCCGGAGGCCUCUCCACUCCCCAGGGGCUGGUGUGGGAGGCGGCCGUGGCACCAGGAGCUGCUGCAUCCUGCAAGUGCACUGCCCGGUUAUUAGUCAUGGAUGGCAUCCAGAAUUUCUCCAGCAUACUUGGGCCCACCAAAUAGUCACAGCAGCACAAACGGCCCAGCAAAUCAGAGGCCCUGAGGGACAGGACCCAGAGCUGGGAGGGUGCACAGGACAAGCCUGGCUCCCUGCGUGCCUGGAGGGUGGCUCCCUCGCCCUGGCCACUGUAACUCCGACUGCCUGUCCUGGAACACGUGCCUGCCAUGGUGUGAGGGUACACAGGGUAGCCUGAGCCCUACCUGAACUUCAGAGACCAGGGGCACGGGGGGAUCCCUGGGCUGAUAUCAGAAACAAGGGCAUCGGUGCUGGCGAGAAAGUAAGGGGAGGCCCCGGCCCCCUGCAAAGGAUCCCGUGAGCCCCCAGGUAGCUGCUCCCAGGACAUGGCACUUGGACCCCCUCAUCCUCACAGUCUCGGACCCGACUCCUCCACGUAGCCAACACCAUAGGAUGUCAACAGUGUCUUUAAAGCUAUGAGGCUCCCAAACAAACUCUCCUCUUCCCGCCCCAGUCGCCUCCAUUCCCAGGACAUACUCGGAGCUCUCAGGCAAGCGGGACUGCUGUGGUCCUCAGCCGACAGUCCCGGGGUGCAGCCAGAGACCACACUGCAGCCUCAGCCCUCUCCUGCCUGCCUCCACUCUAAUCUCCACUCCGCAUGGUGCUCUGUCCGACGAAGGAAGUGGCUCGCUGGUCAGGAGAAAGCCCACUCCAGGCCGUGCAUUCGGGAGCUUUCCAUGGAAGGAGCCGGGUACGCAGGUGGACGAGCAGGACAUCAGCCAGAGGCUGGAAGACACUCCAGGGUCUUGGCAGUGGGAGCCUCCAGGGCCCUGAAGGUUUAUUUGAGCCACUGUGCAAGGGGGCUGGUGCCUGGCUCCAUGUGGAGACCUCCCCUUCCCCCAGGACAGAGCGAGCUCCUUCCUAUGGGAUUUCCAAUAAAGCUCCUCACAACUUAGACGAGUUUCUAACCUAGGGGAUUCAUCAUUUCACUAAAAUGUAUUUACUGAGUACCUACUGCAUGCCACGUGCCAUGCCCGGCAUGAGAAACAGAGGAACAAGAAGGGCAGGACACAUCUGAGGAGCCUGUGUCCUGGGAGGCGGACAGGGUGGGAUCCAGGAGCAGGACCGGGCCUCAUGACUCCUGGCUGGGAGGUGGACAGGGCGGGAUCCAGGAGCGGAACGGGGCCUUGUGACUUCUGUUUGGGAGGCUUGAGCCACAGAGGAGGUUGGCGCCACCUUCUCUGGAGGGAAGGCAGAAGGACAGAAGUUUUGGAGGAAUCACGAGUUUGGUUUGGGCCGAUGCAGGUUCAGCAGCCAUGAGGGCCCUGGAUGGGUCCGUGUCUCCUCACAAAGGAGUUGUUUAUGACUCCAGUUAUGCACCCAUGAGUAGCAUGAGAGCUAUACCAAGGUCUGUUUCCCGGCUACUGUGAACCUGGGGGGUUUCUGGUGAACGGAGCCCACACUGACGCGGGGCAGAAACACACGUUCCAUCGUUCUGAGCUGAAAGGGGGCAGCCUGGACAGAGCACAUGGUGGGGAGAAGCCGCUGUUCCCUGCUGUGCCGGGCUGGGGUGACUGGCGGUUGAUAAACAGCCCCGCUCCUAACAAAGAGCCCUGGAGCGGGAGCCGGCACAGUCGACGUGCCAUUUAUCUUAAGGCUUUCAGGGAGGAAAAAUAUAUUUAAAAAAAAGCUCCUGGGAAAUGGACAAUUAUUAAUGAAACUGUUUUAUCAGUGACUUCACUCAUUUGCCAGGCAGGGAGAUGCUGACAUACAAGAGUGAGGCCAGGUGGGCUUUGGAGGGGGCUGAGAAGGUGGCCAGGAGCACAGCGUGCCCUCUCAGCUGUCAGUGGGUCUGCAGGCCCCAGACGCCCUCUCUGAGGACAGCGUUGGGAGUAAGGGCCGCCAUGAGCUUCAUUUAAUUCACCUGACAUCUGGGGAAGCCUGGGGGUGGCUUGCAGAGCCCACACUUAUGACAAAGGGGUGUUGUGGGACCACAGGCUCUUGGUUCCCUAAUCGUUCACUGGAAAGUCAGUGACAUGAGGCAGAUUGAGUAAGAGGAGAAAAGCACACACAUUUAUUUACUGACCAUGUGUGCCUGGGAGCCUUCAGAAUGAAGAUCCAACCCAAUGAUGAGGUACGGAAGCUUCCACACCAUCCUGAGGCACAGCAAGGAAGGCUGAGGACUCUAAGCACUGCCAGAAACAGGUCAUGCUGCAAAGUCAGGCUCAGUGGCAAGACAGGGAAACAGCGGGAGAAAGGAAGAGGCUUGGCUAGCACAGGCAGCCUUGUUAUGGAGGUGAAGCCUCCCUUGGAGAGGAUAGACGGGAAGUGUUUCUUUUCAGACUCUUAACAGUGUCAGACUCUCAAUCUCUCCCAAAUCUGGGAAAGGUACAGAAAGUAGAGGGGGCCUGGCUGCAUUAAUGGAGAUUCUCUACAGGGGCCUGUGGCAGCUGUUUCAAAUUAUGUCAAGCAAAUGUAUUUUGGGGUUACAUAUUUUAAAUUCCUCCAGCAUUCUCUGCAGUUCUCUGCUGGUGCAGAUGGCUCUGCCUGUGGGCUCAGGCAACAGCUCAGACCUCAGGAGUGCACGGGGCGGCUUCUUCUAGGAGGCUCAGAGGUGUUGAUGAGAAAUGCCAAACUCUAAAAUAUUUGAAGAGAUGUAUUCUGGGCCAAAUGUGAGGACCAUGACCUAUGACACAGCCUCAGGAGGUCCUGAGAACAUGUACCCGAGGAGGCUGGGUUGCAGCUUGGUUUUAUACGUUUUAGGUAGACAUAAGACAUCAAUUAAUACAUGUGAGGUGUACAUUGGUUUAGUCUGAAAGGUGGGACAACUGGAAGCAGGGUUGGGGGCGGCUAUAGUAGGUCAUAGAUGGGUUCAAAGAUUUUCUGAUUGGCACUUGGUUGAAAGAGUGAGGUUAUUAUUGAAGGACUUGGAAUCAAUAGAGAGGAAUGUAUGGGUUGAGAUGAGAGGCUGUGGAGACCAAGGUUCUUAUUACGUAGAUAAGUCUCUCAGAUGACCACCCUUAGAGGAAAAAGGUGGCAAAUGUUUCCUAUUCAGACCUUUAAAAGAUGCUAGACUCUGGAAAAGACCUGGAAAGGGCACGGGAUUCUCUACAGAAUGCAAAUUUCCCCCACAAGAGACAGCUGUGCAGGGCCAUUCCAGAAAUAAAUAAACAGAUUUUUGGGUAAAAUACUUAGAUUUCUUUCAGGGCCUGCUAUCUCUCAUGUGACAAUUUACUAGAUUCGGGUUGGAAUUUGGUAUCUUUUUUUUUUUUUUUUUUUUGAGACGGAGUCUCACUCUGU